This 516-nucleotide ribosomal RNA is filed under the name uncultured bacterium. RNAcentral describes it as "bacterial SSU rRNA". It matches the Rfam family "Bacterial small subunit ribosomal RNA", at positions 28 to 526 of the family's 1533-position model. The record is from RNAcentral.
GAUGAACGCUGGCGGCGUGCCUAAUACAUGCAAGUCGUACGAACAGCGGAAAGUGCUUGCACUUUCCAAGUAAGUGGCGAACGGGUGAGUAACACGUGAAUAACCUACCUCAAAGACUGGGAUAACCAUUGGAAACAGUGACUAAUACCGGAUAAAACCCAGUAGCACAUGCUACAAGGUUAAAAGCUGCGUUUGCAGCGCUUUAAGAUGGAUUCGCGGUGCAUUAGUUAGUUGGUGAGGUAAAGGCUCACCAAGACAAUGAUGCAUAGCCGAGUUGAGAGACUGACCGGCCACAUUGGGACUGAGACACGGCCCAAACUCCUACGGGAGGCUGCAGUAGGGAAUAUUGGACAAUGGGGGCAACCCUGAUCCAGCCAUGCCGCGUGAGUGAUGAAGGCCUUAGGGUUGUAAAGCACUGUUGUAUGGGAAGAACAGCUAGAAUAGGAAAUGAUUUUAGUUUGACGGUACCAUACCAGAAAGGGACGGCUAAAUACGUGCCAGCAGCCGCAGUAAAAC